Molecule: ribosomal RNA, 253 nt
Filed under: uncultured bacterium
Lineage: Bacteria
Description: partial 16S ribosomal RNA
Rfam family: Bacterial small subunit ribosomal RNA
Source: RNAcentral
UACGUAGGGGGCAAGCGUUGUCCGGAUUUAUUGGGCGUAAAGAGCGUGUAGGCGGCCCGGUAAGUCCGCCGUGAAAGUCCAGGGCUCAACCCUGGAAUGCCGGUGGAAACUGCCGGGCUGGAGUCCGGAAGAGGCGAGUGGAAUUCCUGGUGUAGCGGUGAAAUGCGCAGAUAUCAGGAGGAACACCAACGGCGAAGGCAGCACUCUGGGCCGGUACUGACGCUGAGGAGCGAAAGCGUGGGGAGCAAACAGG